UUAAGCGACUAAGCGUACACGGUGGAUGCCCUGGCAGUCAGAGGCGAUGAAGGGCGUGCUAAUCUGCGAUAAGCGCCGGUAAGGUGAUAUGAACCGUUAUAACCGGCGAUACCCGAAUGGGGAAACCCAGUGUGACUCGUCACACUAUCAUUAACUGAAUCCAUAGGUUAAUGAGGCGAACCGGGGGAACUGAAACAUCUAAGUACCCCGAGGAAAAGAAAUCAACCGAGAUUCCCCCAGUAGCGGCGAGCGAACGGGGAGGAGCCCAGAGCCUGAAUCAGCAUAUGUGUUAGUGGAAGCGUCUGGAAAGGCGCGCGAUACAGGGUGACAGCCCCGUACACAAAAGCGCAUGUGCUGUGAGCUCGAUGAGUAGGGCGGGACACGUGGUAUCCUGUCUGAAUAUGGGGGGACCAUCCUCCAAGGCUAAAUACUCCUGACUGACCGAUAGUGAACCAGUACCGUGAGGGAAAGGCGAAAAGAACCCCGGCGAGGGGAGUGAAAAAGAACCUGAAACCGUGUACGUACAAGCAGUGGGAGCACCCUUUUGGGUGUGACUGCGUACCUUUUGUAUAAUGGGUCAGCGACUUAUAUUCUGUAGCAAGGUUAACCGAAUAGGGGAGCCGGAGGGAAACCGAGUCUUAAUUGGGCGUUAAGUUGCAGGGUAUAGACCCGAAACCCGGUGAUCUAGCCAUGGGCAGGUUGAAGGUUGGGUAACACUAACUGGAGGACCGAACCGACUAAUGUUGAAAAAUUAGCGGAUGACCUGUGGCUGGGGGUGAAAGGCCAAUCAAACCGGGAGAUAGCUGGUUCUCCCCGAAAGCUAUUUAGGUAGCGCCUCGUGAAUUCAUCUCCGGGGGUAGAGCACUGUUUCGGCUAGGGGGCCAUCCCGGCUUACCAACCCGAUGCAAACUGCGAAUACCGGAGAAUGUUAUCACGGGAGACACACGGCGGGUGCUAACGUCCGUCGUGAAGAGGGAAACAACCCAGACCGCCAGCUAAGGUCCCAAAGUCAUGGUUAAGUGGGAAACGAUGUGGGAAGGCCCAGACAGCCAGGAUGUUGGCUUAGAAGCAGCCAUCAUUUAAAGAAAGCGUAAUAGCUCACUGGUCGAGUCGGCCUGCGCGGAAGAUGUAACGGGGCUAAACCAUGCACCGAAGCUGCGGCAGCGACGCUGAUGCGUUGUUGGGUAGGGAGCGUUCUGUAAGCCUGUGAAGGUGUGUCGUGAGGCAUGCUGGAGGUAUCAGAAGUGCGAAUGCUGACAUAAGUAACGAUAAAGCGGGUGAAAAGCCCGCUCGCCGGAAGACCAAGGGUUCCUGUCCAACGUUAAUCGGGGCAGGGUGAGUCGACCCCUAAGGCGAGGCCGAAAGGCGUAGUCGAUGGGAAACGGGUUAAUAUUCCCGUACUUGGUGUUACUGCGAAGGGGGGACGGAGAAGGCUAUGUUGGCCGGGCGACGGUUGUCCCGGUUUAAGCGUGUAGGUGUGUGUUCCAGGUAAAUCCGGUUCACUUUAACACUGAGGCGUGAUGACGAGGCACUACGGUGCUGAAGCAACAAAUGCCCUGCUUCCAGGAAAAGCCUCUAAGCAUCAGGUAACAUCAAAUCGUACCCCAAACCGACACAGGUGGUCAGGUAGAGAAUACCAAGGCGCUUGAGAGAACUCGGGUGAAGGAACUAGGCAAAAUGGUGCCGUAACUUCGGGAGAAGGCACGCUGACAUGUAGGUGAAGUGAUUUACUCAUGGAGCUGAAGUCAGUCGAAGAUACCAGCUGGCUGCAACUGUUUAUUAAAAACACAGCACUGUGCAAACACGAAAGUGGACGUAUACGGUGUGACGCCUGCCCGGUGCCGGAAGGUUAAUUGAUGGGGUCAGCGCAAGCGAAGCUCCUGAUCGAAGCCCCGGUAAACGGCGGCCGUAACUAUAACGGUCCUAAGGUAGCGAAAUUCCUUGUCGGGUAAGUUCCGACCUGCACGAAUGGCGUAAUGAUGGCCAGGCUGUCUCCACCCGAGACUCAGUGAAAUUGAACUCGCUGUGAAGAUGCAGUGUACCCGCGGCAAGACGGAAAGACCCCGUGAACCUUUACUAUAGCUUGACACUGAACAUUGAGCCUUGAUGUGUAGGAUAGGUGGGAGGCUUUGAAGUGUGGACGCCAGUCUGCAUGGAGCCGACCUUGAAAUACCACCCUUUAAUGUUUGAUGUUCUAACGUGGACCCGUAAUCCGGGUUGCGGACAGUGUCUGGUGGGUAGUUUGACUGGGGCGGUCUCCUCCUAAAGAGUAACGGAGGAGCACGAAGGUUGGCUAAUCCUGGUCGGACAUCAGGAGGUUAGUGCAAUGGCAUAAGCCAGCUUGACUGCGAGCGUGACGGCGCGAGCAGGUGCGAAAGCAGGUCAUAGUGAUCCGGUGGUUCUGAAUGGAAGGGCCAUCGCUCAACGGAUAAAAGGUACUCCGGGGAUAACAGGCUGAUACCGCCCAAGAGUUCAUAUCGACGGCGGUGUUUGGCACCUCGAUGUCGGCUCAUCACAUCCUGGGGCUGAAGUAGGUCCCAAGGGUAUGGCUGUUCGCCAUUUAAAGUGGUACGCGAGCUGGGUUUAGAACGUCGUGAGACAGUUCGGUCCCUAUCUGCCGUGGGCGCUGGAGAACUGAGGGGGGCUGCUCCUAGUACGAGAGGACCGGAGUGGACGCAUCACUGGUGUUCGGGUUGUCAUGCCAAUGGCACUGCCCGGUAGCUAAAUGCGGAAGAGAUAAGUGCUGAAAGCAUCUAAGCACGAAACUUGCCCCGAGAUGAGUUCUCCCUGAGACUUAGAGUCUCCUGAAGGAACGUUGAAGACGACGACGUUGAUAGGCCGGGUGUGUAAGCGCAGCGAUGCGUUGAGCUAACCGGUACUAAUGAACCGUGAGGCUUAACCUU
RNAcentral lists this ribosomal RNA (2903 nucleotides) under Salmonella enterica subsp. enterica serovar Madelia. RNAcentral describes it as "bacterial LSU rRNA". It matches the Rfam family "Bacterial large subunit ribosomal RNA". The record is from RNAcentral. Lineage: Bacteria; Pseudomonadati; Pseudomonadota; Gammaproteobacteria; Enterobacterales; Enterobacteriaceae.